RNAcentral lists this transfer RNA (81 nucleotides) under Candidatus Saelkia tenebricola. RNAcentral's name for it is "tRNA-Leu". It matches the Rfam family "tRNA". Rfam says of the family: Transfer RNA (tRNA) molecules are approximately 80 nucleotides in length. Their secondary structure includes four short double-helical elements and three loops (D, anti-codon, and T loops). Lineage: Bacteria; Pseudomonadati; Candidatus Omnitrophota. The record is from RNAcentral.
GGGCAGGUGGCGGAAUGGCAGACGCGCAGGACUUAGAAUCCUGUCCUUCCAAGGGUGCGGGUUCAAGUCCCGCCUUGCCCA